This 406-nucleotide ribosomal RNA is filed under the name uncultured bacterium. Its description in RNAcentral is "partial 16S ribosomal RNA". It matches the Rfam family "Bacterial small subunit ribosomal RNA", at positions 30 to 526 of the family's 1533-position model. The record is from RNAcentral.
AUUGAACGCUGGCGGCAGGCCUAACACAUGCAAGUCGAACGAGUGGCGGACGGGUGAGUAAUGUCUGGGAAACUGCCCGAUGGAGGGGGAUAACUACUGGAAACGGUAGCUAAUACCGCCUACCAUCGGAUUUGCCCAGAUGGGAUUAGCUAGUAGGUGGGGUAAUGGCUCACCUCGGCGACGAUCCCUAGCUGGUCUGAGAGGAUGCACAGCCACACUGGAACGGAGCCACGGUCCAGACUCUUACGGGAGGCAGAAGUGGGGAAUAUUGCACAAUGGGCGAAAGCCUGAUGCAGACAUGCGGGGUGUAUGAAGAAGGCCUUCGGGUUGUAAAGUACUUUCAGCGAGGAGGCGUUACUCGCAGAAGAAGCACCGGCUAACUCCGUGCCAGCAGCCGCGGUAAUUC